GCGCAUCUGGUGUAGUGGUA
RNAcentral lists this non-coding RNA (20 nucleotides) under Arabidopsis thaliana (thale cress). The record is from RNAcentral. Lineage: Eukaryota; Viridiplantae; Streptophyta; Magnoliopsida; Brassicales; Brassicaceae.